GUUUCAGUGAGUUGAUGUAAGGUAGUGAAAAAUGAGAUUAAGGUAGUGAAAAAUUGGGUUUUUUUAUUCUGUGUCCAAAUCAAACGAACCAAGUCUCUAUUUGUAGAGAAAAAAAAAAUUAUGAAUUUUGGUAUAAAAAAAAAUAAAAAAUUAAUUUACAACGAAAUAAUUGAGUUCAAAGUAUUAAAUGGAAAAAAAUCACGCUCAGCC
RNAcentral lists this long non-coding RNA (210 nucleotides) under Trifolium pratense (red clover). RNAcentral's name for it is "long non-coding RNA (TPRA_LNC004918)". Lineage: Eukaryota; Viridiplantae; Streptophyta; Magnoliopsida; Fabales; Fabaceae. The record is from RNAcentral.